Medicago truncatula (barrel medic) is the source of this 70-nucleotide microRNA precursor. It matches the Rfam family "MIR2629 microRNA precursor family". The record is from Rfam. NCBI's taxonomy places the organism in Eukaryota, Viridiplantae, Streptophyta, Magnoliopsida, Fabales, Fabaceae.
UUUUUUCUUUUUCGUCGGCAGUUAACUGCAGUCGGUUUCUUACUUCGGUAGUUAACCGUUGCAGGGGCAU